Molecule: ribosomal RNA, 148 nt
Filed under: Buergeria robusta (robust Buerger's frog)
Lineage: Eukaryota; Metazoa; Chordata; Amphibia; Anura; Rhacophoridae
Description: partial 16S ribosomal RNA
Source: RNAcentral
CACAGCAUACGAUAGACUUAAAAAUAAAACAUUCUNCUAUUCUUGUAGAGGGUGAUCGAAAAAUUCUUAGCGGCCCAGAUUUAGUACCCCAAGGGGAAGGUGAAUUAUUAAUGAAAUUAGGUUAAGGCCNAAUGGAGGUCCCCCNCCG